GCUGGGCAUGGUGGCACGUGCCUGUGGUCCCAGCUACUCAGGAGGCUGAGGUGGAAGGAUCACUUGAGCCCAGGAGUUCUGGGUUGUAGAGCGCUAUGCCAAUCGGGUGUCUGCACUAAGUUCAGCAUCAAUAUGGUGACCUCCCAGGAGCAGGGGGAGCAGAUCAAACCUCCCAUGCUGAUCAGUAGAGGGAUCGCACCUGUGAAUAGCCACUGCACUCCAGCCUGGGCAACAUAGUGAGACCCUGUCUCUU
Callithrix jacchus (white-tufted-ear marmoset) is the source of this 253-nucleotide unclassified non-coding RNA. It matches the Rfam family "Metazoan signal recognition particle RNA". From Rfam's summary of the family: The signal recognition particle (SRP) is a universally conserved ribonucleoprotein. The record is from Ensembl. NCBI's taxonomy places the organism in Eukaryota, Metazoa, Chordata, Mammalia, Primates, Cebidae.